RNAcentral lists this ribosomal RNA (353 nucleotides) under uncultured bacterium. RNAcentral describes it as "bacterial SSU rRNA". It matches the Rfam family "Bacterial small subunit ribosomal RNA", at positions 917 to 1267 of the family's 1533-position model. The record is from RNAcentral.
GGACCCGCACAAGUAGUGGAGCAUGUGGUUUAAUUCGAAGAUACGCGCAGAACCUUACCAACACUUGACAUGUUCGUCGCGACUCUAAGAGAUUUAGAGUUUCGGUCGGCCGGAACGAAACACAGGUGCUGCAUGGCUGUCGUCAGCUCGUGUCGUGAGAUGUUGGGUUAAGUCCCGCAACGAGCGCAACCCUCACUUUUAGUUGCCAUCAUUUAGUUGGGCACUCUGAAAGAACUGCCAGUGAUAAGCUGGAGGAAGGUGGGGAUGACGUCAAGUCCUCAUGGCCCUUACGUGUUGGGCUACACACGUGCUACAAUGGUAUCUACAACAGGAAGCAAAACGGCGACGUUAAG